Molecule: long non-coding RNA, 2479 nt
Organism: Balaenoptera musculus (blue whale)
Lineage: Eukaryota; Metazoa; Chordata; Mammalia; Artiodactyla; Balaenopteridae
Exons: 2
Source: RefSeq, a predicted model, not a curated record
GUGUGCGGGCCGCAGCGCGGGGAGUGUGCGCGAGCCGGCCGGGCGCUGCAGCCAACAGGCGGGCCGGGUGCCGCCGCGGGAGCGCCGCCGCCGGUGGGGUGGGGGGCAGAGCUAUAAAGAAGGCCCAGAGGGAAACGUCUGUUCAUCAAGGCAAACUUGUGAAUUGCUUCUUCUACGGAGUACUUAGUCUGCCCGGAAACACAUGCCUCAAUGUCUUCUGAAUUCAGAUGGCUUUGCAGGAAGAGGUGAAGGCUGCUAUCUGAAAGCAGAAGUGCAUUCUGUAGGACCCUACAUAAAAGAAAAAAGGAGACAUGACCAGUGGACGGGGAUGGACAAUUAUAGGGUGGGAAAGAGAAAAAACAUUAGAAAUGUGCCACUGAAGUAAUUUCUCUACUAUGGCAAACUUGGCAUCAAUUGCGACUCUUCCUAUUAAAGGGAUGAAAGCAUAUGUUAACUUUUAUUCGAUUAUUUGGAAAUUUAGGUGAGUAAAAACAUGAAGCUAAUAGUUAAGAACAUCUGUUAAAAGAAUAACUUCAAGGACAUUUCUUCAGUUUAACCAUCUGUUGUGACCAUGUGGAUUAAUUAUGGAAAUAUUUUGCUUAGAUAGUCCCAGAAAUUUAUUCUGCUUUUAAAAAAUUUACUGCCAACCAGCAUGUCAAUUCUGUGAUCUUUAUUGGCUAGGCUGUCAUGAAACAUCAAAACUUUCAACGACUAUUAAAAACUAUAUUGAAAAGUCAAUAGAUUUCUCAGCAUGUCUUACAUUUUCAAACUUUACGAGGAUGCUUAUAUACACGUUCACAAGGGCUCGUUGCGAGGUGGCUUUUUUGAAUACUUAAAAUUGACUGGAAAUUUCUAUAAAAUCUUCAGCAGCACUGCGUAUCUAUUUUAAAAUGAGUCCCUAAAUAAAAUUGCUCCCAGCCAAUUUUACCAUAUAUGUAAUUAAAGUAUGAUAAUUUUGUAAUAAGUACAUACUAGCCUUCCCACAUGCAAGAUCAAAGUUUACAAAGAGAGUACAAAUUUCAGCAGGUGCAUCAGAACUACAUGGAGAAUGAAAAACUGCCCUGUAGCAAAAUCUGCACGUGCUCAAAUUCAUAUUAGCAGUGAAUGUGUCUUUUUCUGAAAUGCAUGUCAAAGAAUACCCUUAUAUUUAAAUAAAAACUGGUUUUCUCUUUUUAGCAAAGAUUUUGAUGUAUGAUAAUUUAGUCUAUUAAUAGCUCGAUAAUGAUAUAACACAGACACUAAAACCAGAUAUAGGGGACAAAACUGAAACACUGAAACCCAAGUAUAACUCUGUCCAACAUGGGAUUUUUCAUAUAGAGGUCUAUGAAAAAGAGUAUGUAUUUCAUACCAAACGAAACUUAGUUUAUAUUCUGCAUUUUUUAAACAAGUAAUUAGAUAAGUAAAUCUCUUUUGGCCAUUCAUAUCAAUUUACUAAAAAUCCAAGGCCACUGGAAUACUUCCUUCUCUUCCAAAUAAAACAGAAUUAUUUCUUCAAGAAGGCGAGCGUCUAAAAAUGCACAGUAUCAAAACCAAAAUCUAGCUGUCCUCUUUGCUUCAAAUAAGCUUACAAAUGUAGUUUGAGAAAUAUUCUUUACUGACCUACUAAAAGGAAAAGGAAAACCUUUGUGCCUUUUUAAAAGGCAAAGUCUCAAGCAAAGCAGUUAAAUAUUUACACUCCCUCCAUGUCCUCUGCCCUGGGUGCCCUCAGAAGAUGACCAUAUCACAUGAUAAAGAUUAAUUUACCAAGUAUAAGGAGUAAAGUAGUAAAUCCCUUUUACUACUCUUUGAGAUUUAUUUUCUACCUUUAUAAAUGUUUACCACUCUUGUUUUAAAUGCUUCAAAUCAAGAGAAGAUUUAUAUAGCAACGACCCAUUAAUAUUACCUUGCAUUUGCUGUGAAGUUUGAACGGAGUGUUUCCUGUGUCCUUUUGUCAGUGGUUUCCUGCCAGCGAUGUUACAAGUAACUGUUCAUGGGAUUAUACUUACUGCUUUGUUUCUGUUGGAAAUGUAUUUUCUUGAUAAAAUAAUGGGUAAUCUUUAAAAUUGAUUUUAGAUGGUUUGAGGCAUUACACCACAAAAGUAAUGAGCACUAAUGCCAAUGAUAUUGGACACAAAUUCAUUUUAGCGUUAUUUCAUGUCUAAAGCAAUUCUACUGAGCCUUGAACUGGUCAUACACUGUUAUUAACUUGCUAGUAACCUAACACAUGGGUACAGCAAACAAAAGUGAUCGAGUCCAGGUUGAUCGGGACCUCAAGGCUACUGUCCUUUUUCUUGAGCUAUAAUUCAAUUUCCAAUUUUACUGUGCAUUAGACUCAUUUCCCAGUGUUUUCUUUUCUGCUUAAUACUGCCAUCUGGAGGACACACAGGUGAACAGCCAGAGGGAGCCUGGCACACCCAGCUCACAAUUCUAAACUGGGAGAAGGAUGUUCAGGGAACAUCUGAACACCCACACAGGCCCUGAGUUCAAAAACAUCUGCCAG